Molecule: ribosomal RNA, 497 nt
Filed under: uncultured bacterium
Lineage: Bacteria
Description: partial 16S ribosomal RNA
Rfam family: Bacterial small subunit ribosomal RNA
Source: RNAcentral
GAUGAACACUGGCGGCGUGCCUAAUACAUGCAAGUCGAGCGAACAGACGAGGAGCUUGCUCCUCUGACGUUAGCGGCGGACGGGUGAGUAACACGUGGAUAACCUACCUAUAAGACUGGGAUAACUUCGGGAAACCGGAGCUAAUACCGGAUAAUAUAUUGAACCGCAUGGUUCAAUAGUGAAAGACGGUUUUGCUGUCACUUAUAGAUGGAUCCGCGCCGCAUUAGCUAGUUGGUAAGGUAACGGCUUACCAAGGCAACGAUGCGUAGCCGACCUGAGAGGGUGAUCGGCCACACUGGAACUGAGACACGGUCCAGACUCCUACGGGAGGCAGCAGUAGGGAAUCUUCCGCAAUGGGCGAAAGCCUGACGGAGCAACGCCGCGUGAGUGAUGAAGGUCUUCGGAUCGUAAAACUCUGUUAUUAGGGAAGAACAAAUGUGUAAGUAACUAUGCACGUCUUAACGGUACCUAAUCAGAAAGCCACGGCUAACUACGUG